AGAGAUCAUGGCUCAGAAUCAACGCUGGCGGCGUGCCUCAGACAUGCAAGUCGAACGAUUAAAGCUCCCUUCGGGGAGUGCAUAAAGUGGCGCACGGGUGAGUAACACGUAAGUAAUCUGCCUUCGAGUGGGGAAUAACCCGGGGAAACCCGAGCUAAUACCGCAUAAUGCAGCGGCACCUAAUGGUGACAGUUGUUAAAGGAGCAAUCCGCUUGAAGAGGAGCUUGCGGCAGAUUAGCUUGUUGGUAAGGUAACGGCUUACCAAGGCUACGAUCUGUAUCCGGUCUAAGAGGACGGUCGGACACACUGACACUGAAUAACGGGUCAGACUCCUACGGGAGGCAGCAGUCGGGAAUUUUGGGCAAUGGGGGAAACCCUGACCCAGCAACGCCGCGUGAAGGAUGAAGUAUUUCGGUAUGUAAACUUCGAAAGAAUAGGAAGAAUUAAUGACGGUACUAUUUAUAAGGUCCGGCUAACUACGUGCCAGCAGCCGCGGUAAUACGUAGGGACCAAGCGUUGUUCGGAUUUACUGGGCGUAAAGGGCGCGUAGGCGGCGCGGUAAGUCACUUGUGAAAUCUCUGAGCUCAACUCAGAACGGCCAAGUGAUACUGCAGUGCUAGAGUGUGGAAGGGGCAAUCGGAAUUCUUGGUGUAGCGGUGAAAUGCGUAGAUAUCAAGAGGAACACCUGAGGUGAAGACGGGUUGCUGGGCCAACACUGACGCUGAGGCGCGAAAGCCAGGGGAGCAAACGGGAUUAGAUACCCCGGUAGUCCUGGGCCCUAAACGAUGAAUACUUGGUGUCUGGAGUUUUAAUGCUCCCGGGUGCCGUCGCUAACGUUUUUAGUAUUUCCGGCUUGGGGAGUACGCUCGCAAGAGUGAAACUCAAAGGGAAUUGA
Molecule: ribosomal RNA, 895 nt
Filed under: uncultured Acidobacteriota bacterium
Lineage: Bacteria; Pseudomonadati; Acidobacteriota
Description: bacterial SSU rRNA
Rfam family: Bacterial small subunit ribosomal RNA
Source: RNAcentral